GAAAAAACUAUAACAAGGACACGGUAAAUAAUUAAGUAUCUUAAAGAGAGCCAAAGGUUGGUGCGAUUUGGUAAGUAAAAAUUAUUUAUUAUCACCUUAGUUUGUUACUAGUUGAAAAGAUAAAGUAAGCUAGUCGUAUACCUGCGUUAAAGGGAAAAGAGAGAGUGGAUUGUAUUGUAAAAAAUAUAUAUUUACUAACUUAGGUGGUACCGCGGAAUAGAAAAAUCUUUUCGUCCUAAUA
Molecule: non-coding RNA, 241 nt
Filed under: Clostridium sp.
Lineage: Bacteria; Bacillati; Bacillota; Clostridia; Eubacteriales; Clostridiaceae
Description: T-box sequence
Rfam family: T-box leader
About the family: Uncharged tRNA acts as the effector for transcription antitermination of genes in the T-box leader family. T-boxes are found upstream of many aminoacyl-tRNA synthetase genes and some amino acid biosynthetic genes usually in Gram-positive bacteria. The anticodon of a specific tRNA base pairs to a specifier sequence within the T-box motif, and the NCCA acceptor tail of the tRNA base pairs to a conserved bulge in the T-box antiterminator hairpin.
Source: RNAcentral